GUUAGUGGCGCACGGGUGCGUAACGCGUGGGAAUCUGCCCCUUGCUUCGGAAUAACAGUUAGAAAUGACUGCUAAUACCGGAUGAUGACUUCGGUCCAAAGAUUUAUCGGCAAGGGAUGAGCCCGCGUAGGAUUAGGUAGUUGGUGGGGUAAAGGCCUACCAAGCCGACGAUCCUUAGCUGGUCUGAGAGGAUGAUCAGCCACACUGGGACUGAGACACGGCCCAGACUCCUACGGGAGGCAGCAGUGGGGAAUAUUGGACAAUGGGCGCAAGCCUGAUCCAGCAAUGCCGCGUGAGUGAUGAAGGCCUUAGGGUUGUAAAGCUCUUUUACCCGGGAUGAUAAUGACAGUACCGGGAGAAUAAACUCCGGCUAACUCCGUGCCAGCAGCCGCGGUAAUACGGAGGGAGCUAGCGUUGUUCGGAAUUACUGGGCGUAAAGCGCACGUAGGCGG
This 452-nucleotide ribosomal RNA is filed under the name uncultured Novosphingobium sp. RNAcentral describes it as "bacterial SSU rRNA". It matches the Rfam family "Bacterial small subunit ribosomal RNA", at positions 91 to 578 of the family's 1533-position model. Lineage: Bacteria; Pseudomonadati; Pseudomonadota; Alphaproteobacteria; Sphingomonadales; Sphingomonadaceae. The record is from RNAcentral.